RNAcentral lists this ribosomal RNA (529 nucleotides) under uncultured bacterium. RNAcentral's name for it is "partial 16S ribosomal RNA". It matches the Rfam family "Bacterial small subunit ribosomal RNA", at positions 355 to 900 of the family's 1533-position model. The record is from RNAcentral.
UGGGGAAUAUUGCACAAUGGGCGGAAGCCUGAUGCAGCAACGCCGCGUGAGUGAUGAAGGUCUUCGGAUUGUAAAGCUCUGUCUUUUGGGACGAUAAUGACGGUACCAAAGGAGGAAGCCACGGCUAACUACGUGCCAGCAGCCGCGGUAAUACGUAGGUGGCGAGCGUUGUCCGGAUUUACUGGGCGUAAAGGGUGCGUAGGCGGAUGUUUAAGUGAGAUGUGAAAUACCCGGGCUUAACUUGGGUGCUGCAUUUCAAACUGGAUAUCUAGAGUGCAGGAGAGGAGAAUGGAAUUCCUAGUGUAGCGGUGAAAUGCGUAGAGAUUAGGAAGAACACCAGUGGCGAAGGCGAUUCUCUGGACUGUAACUGACGCUGAGGCACGAAAGCGUGGGUAGCAAACAGGAUUAGAUACCCUGGUAGUCCACGCCGUAAACGAUGAGUACUAGGUGUAGGAGGUAUCGACCCCUUCUGUGCCNCAGUAAACACAUUAAGUACUCCGCCUGGGAAGUACGAUCGCAAGAUUAAAAC